RNAcentral lists this long non-coding RNA (276 nucleotides) under Lathyrus oleraceus (garden pea). Its description in RNAcentral is "Pisum sativum (pea) long non-coding RNA (PSAT_LNC005665)". Lineage: Eukaryota; Viridiplantae; Streptophyta; Magnoliopsida; Fabales; Fabaceae. The record is from RNAcentral.
AAAGAGUCCGUGAAGGACUUUUGUCAAGAGAUGAAGCGUCAACAAGUAAGAGAUACGGUUGCAACUUCGGUAAGAAGAAAGAUAGAGAGACCAAUACAGUAAUUAGUGGGAGGCAGAGGAGGCCUCAAAUCAGAAAAAAUCAACCACCCUGUCAACAUCAUCAUCAUCAAGUGUCAUCAGUAAUUCCGGUAUUUUCUAGUUAACAAGCAACACCAAUUCAACAACAACAACAUCAACGUCAAUAACAACAAUCGCAUCAAAGAACGAACACCUACA